Molecule: long non-coding RNA, 1429 nt
Organism: Marmota monax (woodchuck)
Lineage: Eukaryota; Metazoa; Chordata; Mammalia; Rodentia; Sciuridae
Exons: 3
Source: RefSeq, a predicted model, not a curated record
UGCACUCAAACCCCCCUCUAUCUGGUCCUUUAUCACCUGUUUGCCUCAGUCUGAACAUUCAACCCUGCUCAAGGCUGAACACUUAACCCCCCAUUGAGCCAACAAGGCAGCUUGCAGACCCAGAGGCCCCAUUAGAUUUGGGCUAUAAAAACUCCCUCCUGCCAGGCCCCCCUCUCUUUUGCUAUCUCUCUUGCUUUCUCUGUCUCUCUCCUGCGUGUGCUCCCUCCCUCUCUCUCUCUUUCCUUCUUUCUUUUCUCCUCUGUUGCACUGCUGCAAUAAAGAUCUUGUGGUUGCUCUGAGUGUUGUGGUCACUUUCCUUUCAUUUGGUGCCGAAACCCGGGAGAGGGUUAAAACCCACUUUUGGGUCCCUCUUCCUUCGGAAGUGCCACUCACGGGACGGCCUGAACCCAUUUUCUUGAUCGCCAGAAAUCCAUGCACCACGGACCUUCAAUUGAUUAUUCCCAGGUUCGAACUUCCCACCUCCAUCAAGUCAUACAACAAUCUGGCCUUCACUUCUCAGGUUGUUCAACUAGUCUCCAAAGGUCUCAACAUCAUUUGGAGGGUCCACAUCUCCUAUUAACCCCAAUCCUUGGUUUUUAUCUCAAACCACAGAUACCUCUUCUACAUCCAAGCGACAUGACACCAGGAUGACACCACCCACUCUCAGUUUAUAGGUCAAGGAGAUUGCCCUUCCACUGGAUGCAAUCAGUCUGUCACCCUUAACAUUACUGGAUUCAACCAAGCCACCUCCAAUACUUCCUAGAGUCCCUGCUACAGGACCAGUGUCUGAUACCAAGAAUCUCCUCCAUCCAGGACUGGUUUGAUGCCAUUGAGGACUUGUGGCUUCAAGGAACUUUUAUGGACUUUACCCCUACCACAGUAGUUGUCUAUAGCCACUGAGUGUUAUUUCUGGCUGCCCUGGUGUUCUCAGACCUGUCCCCCGAAUAUUCCUCCACUCCCCCUUCUAGGUCCAACGCCACCCACCAUUAAGCAGGAAGUAGCCAGAGGACUUUAUGCUGUCCCCUGUGUCACUUAGAAAAACAAAAAGGGAGGAAUGUUGGGUGCAGAGCAGGCUGAACUGUGUUGUCUGCAGGGCAGGCUGAACAGAUGCUGGCUGCAAGAUAGCCCUUGCACUCAAACCCCCCUCUAUCUGGUCCUUUAUCACCUGUUUGCCUCAGUCUGAACAUUCAACCCCGCUCAAGGCUGAACACUUAACUCCCCCUUGAGCCAACAAGGCAGCUUGCAGACCCAGAGGCCCCAUUAGAUUUGGGCUAUAAAAACUCCCUCCUGCCAGGCCCCCCUCUCUUUUGCUAUCUCUCUUGCUUUCUCUGUCUCUCUCCUGCGUGCGCUCCCUCUCUCUCUCUCUCUUUCCUUCUUUCUUUUCUCCUCUGUUGCACUGCUGCAAUAAAGAUCUUGUGGUUGCUCUGAG